This is a long non-coding RNA of Pseudopipra pipra, 950 nucleotides long. RefSeq lists it as uncharacterized. The record is from RefSeq and is a predicted model, not a curated record. Lineage: Eukaryota; Metazoa; Chordata; Aves; Passeriformes; Pipridae. The transcript is spliced from 3 exons.
GACUGCUUAUGGAUUUGUUGGGGAGAAAUGCACUAACUAUAUGUUAACUAAUUAAAUAUUUGAGGAGGAUAAAUUGACUACAUGUUAACUACUUCUCUAUCUGAAGGGUAUAAAUGAACUAACUACAUGUUAACUACUUACAUAUCCGUGGGGCUACUAUAUCUUAACUAUUUAAAUAUUUUGGUGGAUCAAUGCACUAACAACGUAUUAUGUCGUUAUCAAUUUUGGGGGGAUCUAUGCACUAACUACGUGUAACUACUCAUAGAAUUCUUGGGGAACUACAUAUUAACUACCAACACAGUUGUUGGGGCACUGCCUAAUUCCUACUUCUCUACUUGUCGGGGCAAACAUGCUAGCUACAUCUUAGCUACAUCUAAAUGAACUACUGUUAAUAUAGGGACUGUCUGUCAGGCCAUGGGUCGAAGCUAUGUCAGGGCCUGGAUGAAGGUUGUCAGGGCCUGGGUGAAGGUUGUCAGGGCCUGGGUGAAGGUUGUGAGGCCCUAGGUGAAGGUUGUCAGGGCCUGGGUGAAGGUUGUGAGGCCCUAGGUGAAGGUUGUCAGGGCCUGGGUGAAGGUUGUCAGGGCCUGGGUGAAGGUUGUCCUGGCCUCGGUGAAGGUUUUCAGGGUGCUUCUUCUCCAGGCUGCAGCUUGUGUGCUGCAAGGGUUCCAGCAGCUGCUGCUGGAAGUCCCUCCUGGUCCACCCUGAGAGGCCCUCCUGUCCAGACCAUGCUCUUCUUCCUCUUCCUGGUUUGCAUCGCCCUUGUCACCUUCUUCUUCAUUUCCUUGGCGAAUGCCCAGAUUUCCUUCACCUCUUUGUAUCUCUUCCUGAUGGUGAGCAUGGUCUGGAUGGAUGCCCUCCUCCUCCUCCUCGCCUCUUCAAGGGCUCUCCUGGCCGCUGCUCUCUGGUUCAUGGCUGCUAUUCUGCGGCUGAACCAGAGCGCCAAGAGCAGG